GAAACAUCAAAAGAAACCUGCAGUCCAGGACCAGAGCUCAGCUUUCCUUUUCUCCAGUCAAAUGAAGAAGUAAUCUCAUCAGGUUGGAAAGUGCUGACUAAGGAUUUAAUAAAGUGCCUGCAGAUGUGGCGUCUCUAAGAUUAAAAAGUUAAACAAAAGGCCUCAAGGGCAAAGUUGAACACUGCGGAAGGAGGCUGUUAAUGUGGAAUCCAGAACUGGGUGUGACACUUCGCUUUCUUCCCCAGGCAAGGUGGGUUAUUUAAGGACAUUCACACACAGAAAACAGAGACGUGCAGAUACUGGGAGGCCUCUGUCUCCAUGGCCCCCGCAGGCCCGACUCUUCAUCAGCCCCGAAGAGGACGCUACCAACCAGGACUGCUCUCAUCUGAGUAACCUUUUACCUCAUGAAACCAAAGACUUCCGAAUGAACAACUGCACUCUGGCCCGCUCGUGUUCGCUCUGCAGACUUCCCAGAGGGCUGUGUGCAUCGCAGUGGAGCUGGGCCCCCGGAGGCCGAGUUAGCAGAACCCCAUCAUUGAACUAGUAUACACCAUUCUGUACCAGUGAAGUCAUCUCAGACAUCAAAGCUGCACACCACCAGUGUACCUGCCCUUCUGGAGCCGCUUGUGAGGGGGUUCUAAUGAAGCACGACUCUGGGAGCCGGAGACCCCCGUGGACACGGCAGUUCAAAGGGAAUAUUUCAACAAUGAUUACAUUUUGUAAAUCUUUUUAUGAAAGAGACAGCUUAUUUCCUGCUUUUUCAUGAAAAAUAGAUUCUAUCCAUUAAAGUGAGCCCGCGCCACGGAAGCUGCUUGAGAUCUGAGGUGCAGCGUGGAGAUUAAGGGGACAACGGCCCGAUGAAAUCGUCCAGAGUUCCUAUCUGUUUGGCUAGGAUGGCACUGCUGGAUUGUCUGGGUGGAGCCCAGACGGUGCGCUGGAUGGCUCUGCUAGCGGAAAUGCAGUGACAAUGGUGCUUCGCGGUUUAUUUUCAGCCGGGGGCCUGGUGUUUAUUGUUUGUUCCUUUUUAUUCUUUGUGAUUCCACAGAGUCCAAACCAAAUAUCAGAAGGCAUUGGGCCACCCCUUUGAUUGCACAGGAAAAAAAGAUGAAAGAUUUUAGCUACAGAUUCAUUAAAUGCUAUUAUUUUUAAUGCCCCGAAAUGGGACAGACCCUUUCGCACGUGGGAAGUUAGCCAUUAAAGAGCUGGCUCGGCUCUGAAGAUACAAUACAGGCUUUAUUACUGGCUAAUGUCAGUCCCAAAGGCAAAACUAAAGAAGGCAGGCUACCCUUUUGUAAUUUUUGAUUUUCAGUAUUAAGAUAAUCUUUCCUCGGGUCUUUCCUUUUUUUUUUUUGGCGGCGGGGAGAGUUGAGUACAGUAGGGACGGAGGAGAAUAAUUUCCUAGGGAGCUAUGAAAUGAAAAAAAAAAUGUAUGUUUUCUGCACAUCAGAUUCCAACCUUAAUUAAAUGCCUGUUGUCUAACAAGUGCAGACAGUCACACUUGGGGCUGGCCCAACGGUGGCCCAGGGAGGUAACCUUUCUUGUUUAAAAAGAGAGGCGUGGGAGUGGAGGUCAGAGCUCAGCAGAGCGUGGCCACAUUGUAAUAAUCAUUCCACCCAGUGCUUCUCUGCUCCUGCUCUUCCCCCAGAGCUGAGAAGCCCUUCCCAAACACCACUCAGGUUCACAGCACAUCUCUCAUGUAGAUGUACUGUUUGGAUUGUGCAGGUAGAGAGAGUCUGGAAAGGGGUAAAAAAAUAAUAUUAAAGCGAAAAGUCCAAUUAUUACAAAAAGUCUCCAGAGACGUCCUGCAAUAGAACGACGGAGGAUCUGAUACUUUGCCAGAAACGAAUUCCCAAACUAACCUUUUCAGCCAAGGAGCCCUUUAGGCACUGCAUGGCAUCUGCCAUCUUUGGACCUUUCCACCGCAGCUGGUGCCGACUGGCACGGCCCAGGGCACAGGUCUUUGCUUCUUACCCCUUUAUUCACCCUCUGGUCACAGUCCGGGCUCCUUCCUCUUGUCCUUUCCGAGCCCUGUUUCCUGCCCACCCCCUCCACCCCUCUAGCCAGUCUCUUUCUCUCCCUUUCCACCUGGGUUCCCCCCCCCCCCCCACCAGGAAUUACGGCAGACCCCUCCUCUCCCAAAGGCUGCAGGAACCAACAGUCCUUCCUACUCCAUUCACCGGAUUAAGAAAGGAAGCGCAGAAGAAGGCACUCAGCUGCAACCACGACCACCCCGCCUAGCAGCUGGAAUGGAGGGGCUUCUGUAGUAAGCCAAAGAGCCAAAGAAACGAGGCUUAGAGGCAGAAUUGGGGCAGAAGGUGGAGGAGGCUGCAGCAUCUCAGUUCUCAGGCUCAUGAGAAAAGAGAGGACAGUGAGAUGCACCUCAGCGCUGGACUGUGAAUCGGGAGCCCGAGCUCAGUCCCCAGCUGCCCUGGGGGUGGCACCCCAGGGGACUCUGAUUCUGCUUACAAAGAUCCCAUUCCUGAACUUUCUUUACCUUCCGGGAACACCUGCUUUUCCAUUUCACUAGUUCCAGGAGUCAUCUUUUCCUUGUUCAUAGUGUGGAUGGGCUACUGGGGUAAGACUGUUCAUAUCCCUCACUGAGCUUGGCCAUGGAGAAAGCAGGAGACCUAAAUUCUAGUCUCUGCGACUUCAGGGGUCCAACUUUACGUAUCUGCAAAGCAGCCUCAGUAUACCAGUUAUCAUGGCAUUUGAGGGAGGAAGUAACAAACACAAAAAGACAAAACUUUCAAAUACUGGCCUAAAUGACUUGGAAAUACCGUAAGCAGCAUGGUCACAGAAGGCGUUGCUGUGAUCCGGACGGCAUGCGGUGGGGUCAAGGUCUCCCUCCUCUGGACCAACCACCCUGGAUAGAAAUGGAAUGAUUUCCCUGAGCCCAGGCAAAGCUCCAUGUGACAUCCCCGAAAGCACAAACCAGGGAUCAGCGAACAAUGCUUUCCUCCUCCUUCUGAAAAUGUGGUAGGAUUUAGGGUUUUAUGGCAACACAACUUGUCUUUGUUAAGACGUGACUUGCAAAACAAACCCACAUGGGGGGGUUGGCAGUUUCAAAUGACAGUACUUUUUUUUUUUUUAAUGCUGAAACAGCAAAUGCUUUUUAUGUUCAGAUUUAUUUCCUUCUAAAUCUGUAGAUUAAAUUUACAA
Mirounga angustirostris (Northern elephant seal) is the source of this 3159-nucleotide long non-coding RNA. RefSeq lists it as uncharacterized. NCBI's taxonomy places the organism in Eukaryota, Metazoa, Chordata, Mammalia, Carnivora, Phocidae. The transcript is spliced from 4 exons. The record is from RefSeq and is a predicted model, not a curated record.